GAUGAACGCUAGCUACAGGCUUAACACAUGCAAGUCGAGGGGCAGCAUGAACUUAGCUUGCUAAGUUUGAUGGCGACCGGCGCACGGGUGAGUAACACGUAUCCAACCUUCCGUUUACUCAGGGAUAGCCUUUCGAAAGAAAGAUUAAUACCUGAUAGUAUGGUGAGAUUGCAUGAUAGCACCAUUAAAGAUUUAUUGGUAAACGAUGGGGAUGCGUUCCAUUAGGUAGUAGGCGGGGUAACGGCCCACCUAGCCGACGAUGGAUAGGGGUUCUGAGAGGAAGGUCCCCCACAUUGGAACUGAGACACGGUCCAAACUCCUACGGGAGGCAGCAGUGAGGAAUAUUGGUCAAUGGGCGAGAGCCUGAACCAGCCAAGUAGCGUGAAGGAUGAAGGUCCUACGGAUUGUAAACUUCUUUUAUACGGGAAUAAAGUAUCCUACGUGUAGGAUUUUGUAUGUACCGUAUGAAUAAGCAUCGGCUAACUCCGUG
RNAcentral lists this ribosomal RNA (490 nucleotides) under uncultured bacterium. RNAcentral describes it as "bacterial SSU rRNA". It matches the Rfam family "Bacterial small subunit ribosomal RNA", at positions 28 to 507 of the family's 1533-position model. The record is from RNAcentral. RNAcentral also lists the same sequence under 1 other name.